UACGUAGGACCCAAGCGUUAUCCGGAGUGACUGGGCGUAAAGAGUUGCGUAGGCGGCUUAGUAAGUGGAUAGUGAAACCUGGUGGCUCAACCAUUCAGACUAUUAUCCAAACUGCUAAGCUCGAGAAUGGUAGAGGUAGCUGGAAUUUCUAGUGUAGGAGUGAAAUCCGUAGAUAUUAGAAGGAACACCGAUGGCGUAGGCAGGCUACUGGACCAUUUCUGACGCUAAGGCACGAAAGCGUGGGGAGCGAACCGG
This 255-nucleotide ribosomal RNA is filed under the name uncultured bacterium. Its description in RNAcentral is "partial 16S ribosomal RNA". It matches the Rfam family "Bacterial small subunit ribosomal RNA", at positions 524 to 776 of the family's 1533-position model. RNAcentral also lists the same sequence under 1 other name. The record is from RNAcentral.